Molecule: ribosomal RNA, 518 nt
Filed under: uncultured microorganism
Description: bacterial SSU rRNA
Rfam family: Bacterial small subunit ribosomal RNA
Source: RNAcentral
GAGUUUGAUCAUGGCUCAGAUUGAACGCUGGCGGCAGGCCUAACACAUGCAAGUCGAGCGGAUGAAGGGAGCUUGCUCCUGGAUUCAGCGGUGGACGGGUGAGUAAUGCCUAGGAAUCUGCCUGGUAGUGGGGGAUAACGUCCGGAAACGGGCGCUAAUACCGCAUACGUCCUGAGGGAGAAAGUGGGGGAUCUUCGGACCUCACGCUAUCAGAUGAGCCUAGGUCGGAUUAGCUAGUUGGUGGGUAAAGGCCUACCAAGGCGACGAUCCGUAACUGGUCUGAGAGGAUGAUCAGUCACACUGGAACUGAGACACGGUCCAGACUCCUACGGGAGGCAGCAGUGGGGAAUAUUGGACAAUGGGCGAAAGCCUGAUCCAGCCAUGCCGCGUGUGUGAAGAAGGUCUUCGGAUUGUAAAGCACUUUAAGUUGGGAGGAAGGGCCGUAAGUUAAUACCUUGCUGUUUUGACGUUACCAACAGAAUAAGCACCGGCUAACUUCGUGCCAGCCGCCGCCGUAA